GGUGAGUAACACGUGGGCAACCUACCCUAUAGUUUGGGAUAACUCCGGGAAACCGGGGCUAAUACCGAAUAAUCUCUUUUGCUUCAUGGUGAAAGACUGAAAGACGGUUUCGGCUGUCGCUAUAGGAUGGGCCCGCGGCGCAUUAGCUAGUUGGUGAGGUAACGGCUCACCAAGGCGACGAUGCGUAGCCGACCUGAGAGGGUGAUCGGCCACACUGGGACUGAGACACGGCCCAGACUCCUACGGGAGGCAGCAGUAGGGAAUCUUCCACAAUGGGCGAAAGCCUGAUGGAGCAACGCCGCGUGAGUGAAGAAGGUUUUCGGAUCGUAAAACUCUGUUGUAAGGGAAGAACAAGUACAGUAGUAACUGGCUGUACCUUGACGGUACCUUAUUAGAAAGCCACGGCUAACUACGUGCCAGCAGCCGCGGUAAUACGUAGGUGGCAAGCGUUGUCCGGAAUUAUUGGGCGUAAAGCGCGCGCAGGCGGUCCUUUAAGUCUGAUGUGAAAGCCCACGGCUCAAC
This 522-nucleotide ribosomal RNA is filed under the name Acetobacter pasteurianus. RNAcentral's name for it is "bacterial SSU rRNA". It matches the Rfam family "Bacterial small subunit ribosomal RNA", at positions 105 to 613 of the family's 1533-position model. The record is from RNAcentral. Lineage: Bacteria; Pseudomonadati; Pseudomonadota; Alphaproteobacteria; Acetobacterales; Acetobacteraceae.